UACACGAGACAGUAAAUUGAAGCUCUCAUA
This 30-nucleotide non-coding RNA is filed under the name Mus musculus (house mouse). The record is from RNAcentral. Lineage: Eukaryota; Metazoa; Chordata; Mammalia; Rodentia; Muridae.